This 24-nucleotide non-coding RNA is filed under the name Cricetulus griseus (Chinese hamster). The record is from RNAcentral. Lineage: Eukaryota; Metazoa; Chordata; Mammalia; Rodentia; Cricetidae.
GGCCCUGAUCGAGGAGUAUUGAGG